UACGUAGGGUGCAGGCGUUAAUCGGAAUUAUUGGGCGUAAAGCGCGCGCAGGCGGUUUCUUAAGUCUGAUGUGAAAGCCCACGGCUCAACCGUGGAGGGUCAUUGGAAACUGGGGAACUUGAGUGCAGAAGAGAAAAGCGGAAUUCCACGUGUAGCGGUGAAAUGCGUAGAGAUGUGGAGGAACACCAGUGGCGAAGGCGGCUUUUUGGUCUGUAACUGACGCUGAGGCGCGAAAGCGUGGGGAGCAAACAGG
RNAcentral lists this ribosomal RNA (253 nucleotides) under uncultured bacterium. Its description in RNAcentral is "partial 16S ribosomal RNA". It matches the Rfam family "Bacterial small subunit ribosomal RNA", at positions 524 to 776 of the family's 1533-position model. The record is from RNAcentral.